AUUGAACGCUGGCGGCAUGCCUUACACAUGCAAGUCGAGCGGCAGCACGGGUGCUCGCACCUGGUGGCGAGUGGCGAACGGGUGAGUAAUACAUCGGAACGUACCUUAUCGUGGGGGAUAACGCAGCGAAAGCUGUGCUAAUACCGCAUACGCCCUGAGGGGGAAAGCGGGGGAGCGAAAGACCUCGCGCGAUUAGAGCGGCCGAUGCCUGAUUAGCUUGUUGGUGGGGUAAAAGCCCACCAAGGCGACGAGCAGUAGCUGGUCUGAGAGGACGAUCAGCCACACUGGGACUGAGACACGGCCCAGACUCCUACGGGAGGCAGCAGUGGGGAAUUUUGGACAAUGGGGGCAACCCUGAUCCAGCAAUGCCGCGUGAGUGAAGAAGGCCUUCGGGUUGUAAAGCUCUUUUGUCAGGGAAGAAACACCGGCUCUAACACAGUCCGGGAAUGACGGUACCUGAAGAAUAAGCACCGGCUAACUACGUGCCAGCCGCCGCCGUAA
RNAcentral lists this ribosomal RNA (501 nucleotides) under uncultured bacterium. RNAcentral describes it as "partial 16S ribosomal RNA". It matches the Rfam family "Bacterial small subunit ribosomal RNA", at positions 29 to 523 of the family's 1533-position model. The record is from RNAcentral.